This 344-nucleotide long non-coding RNA is filed under the name Homo sapiens (human). RNAcentral describes it as "HSALNT0202561". Lineage: Eukaryota; Metazoa; Chordata; Mammalia; Primates; Hominidae. The record is from RNAcentral.
GCGGGGUUUCACCAUGUUAGCCAGGAUGGUGUCCAUCUCUUGACCUCGUGAUCCGCCUGCCUGCGCCUCCCAAAGAGCUGGGAUUACAGGCCUGAGCCACCGCGCCCGGCCGUACAGUUUGUAUUCUAACACCAACUCAUAAGGGAAUAAACCAGGGUUACAAGUGUUGCUGCCUCACCAUGGACAUCCCACAGGACAAUCCACUGAACAAAUAACCCUUUUGUGUAGAUCCAGGAUACUUUUCACUUCCUAAACAUAAAUCCCACCACAUCUGUUCAACCAGCUCUGCUCCAGGAUAAAAAAAUAUAUAUUGAUGAAUUUCCAGCCUUGUUUCAUAUUCUGUU